CCUACGGGCGACAGCAGUCGAGAAUCAUUCACAAUGGGGGAAACCCUGAUGGUGCGACGCCGCGUGGGGGAAUGAAGGUCUUCGGAUUGUAAACCCCUGUCAUGUGGGAGCAAAUUAAAAAGAUAGUACCACAAGAGGAAGAGACGGCUAACUCUGUGCCAGCAGCCGCGGUAAUACAGAGGUCUCAAGCGUUGUUCAGAAUCACUGGGCGUAAAGGGUGCGUAGGCUGUUUCGUAAGUCGUGUGUGAAAGGCGCGGGCUCAACCCGCGGACGGCACAUGAUACUGCGAGACUAGAGUAAUGGAGGGGGAACCGGAAUUCUCGGUGUAGCAGUGAAAUGCGUAGAUAUCGAGAGGAACACUCGUGGCGAAGGCGGGUUCCUGGACAUUAACUGACGCUGAGGCACGAAGGCCAGGGGAGCGAAAGGGAUUAGAUACCCGGGUAGUC
This 446-nucleotide ribosomal RNA is filed under the name uncultured bacterium. Its description in RNAcentral is "partial 16S ribosomal RNA". It matches the Rfam family "Bacterial small subunit ribosomal RNA", at positions 338 to 795 of the family's 1533-position model. The record is from RNAcentral.